AUGUUGGACUUCCAAAUCGUCCUAACACACUGUGUGCUCUCUGUCACUUUAACACUGUGCUGUGAGAAACUAACAUGUGUUAUUAUCGUGACGUUACCGCGGGAAAAGCAUUUUUGCACCUCAGUGUUGAAGCUGCAGUUAACAACAAAGCUCAAAAGCUUGUUGACGGAAGUUGCUCAACAGCAGCAUCACCUGUGCCAUGGCAUCUGCCCGCAUUUUGUCCGGCAAUGUCCGCAGCCCCUUUGCGACCACGAUUCCAAAGUAGUGCGACUCGUCCAGCUCGUCCCCUUGCACAGCACACAUGUCACGCCGGCUUUGUGGGGUCGGGGUGAUGCAGCGCCGUGUCGGGCUGCCCUCGGACCUGGAGGGGCUCGGCAGAGUUGACUCCAUCAACUGCAACGAAACAGAAUGGGAAAUUACUAGUCAAGGAAGCAUCAUCAAGCAGUUAUUAACCUUACCAUAAUGACUGUAUUGUAUGGACCACAUCUCCUCCUCAUUGGGUCAAGAUGAAUUUGCAGAAACAUAUCUGACAUGAGGCAAUUAUUAAUAACUAUGUUUCCAAAAACUUCUUAUAAAUCCUAAUUCUUUUAAUUUCCACAUAUAUUAUGUUUAUUUCAUCAUCACCUUGUCAAUGUAAUGUUACAUUCUCCAUUUGUGUAUGUGUAUAUUUCCGUUUUUUCCAUAUGUAAAUAUGGUUCUGUUAAGUGUUUAUAAGCAACCAAGUUUUUGUAAUCUGAUUAUACUGCUAUUUAUUUUUUAUACAUGCUAUUUAAAAAAAAGCAUGAUAGAGGACCCACACAUGUCUGUGCCAGUCAGGCUAGUCCUGUAAAAGCACUUACUUGUAUUUCGCCACCCUGGCUGCUGUUGUGUGGUGACGGUCCAGGGGAUGCUGCAGCUGAACUCUGGGAUUUAUCAGGAUACUAAAGGAAAACAGCACCAGUGUAAAAAUACUGAGAUGCAGUAAUACCACCAAACACUUCCGCUAUGACUGUACAUAGCUAAACAUACAGGUGAAGGGGAUCAAAACAUCACACACAAACAGGAAUACUUACAGGGUUAGCCAUGUCUUCCAGCACCUGGGCCGGCCCUGCGGGGGAGGAUGAGAAGUCUUCGGGACUCUAUUAAGGACACAUGAACUGUAAAUACCCCAAACCUUCUUAUAGUUUGUUUAUUUUUAUUUAUUUUAUUUUUCUGCACAGCUGGAAGUUAUUGCGUCUCGUACCUCUAUUGUGUACCUCGUCACGGCAUUCCUGUGUUUCACGUACCCGUCCAGCCACGACAGGGACUUCAGCAGCGGAGGGGUUCUCGCUGGUCUCGCUGGCUGGCCGCUUUUGCUGGUGAACUUUUUCUUGGCCCGAACAUACCUGUCCCGAAGUUGCUUCCACUUCUCCCGGCAUUUGUCAGGCUCUGUCUGGAGGGCGGCUGCUAUUUCUUGCCACGACUUGAUGCUAACGUGCGGGUUCUUGUAAUACUUGUGUCCAGGGUCAUAAAGGUUGUGGUGUAACGCAAUUUGUUCAGCUAACUGUUCCUCGAAACUUUCGAGCGCUGCCAUUUUUGUCAGCUUCCGUGAAGGUUUUCUCUUUCCGGGUCAACUCAGUGUUUCAACCAAUCAGCAUUCGAUCUACGUAUAGCGUCAUCAACGUCGACUACGUGCUGUUUGUUAUGAUUAUUAUUGUUAUUAUUGUUAAUAAUAAUAAUAAUAAUAAUAAUAAUAAUAAUAAUAAUAAUAAUAAUAAUAAUAAUUAAUAUAGAGAUAUAGAGAUACGAUUAAAAUGCCUAAAUAACAUAUGCAAAUUAAGAUUUUUGCAGUUGCAUCUUCACGCUAAUUUCUGCCAAAAAGGGAAACAAAUGA
RNAcentral lists this long non-coding RNA (1852 nucleotides) under Oreochromis niloticus (Nile tilapia). Its description in RNAcentral is "lncRNA (ENSONIG00000036985.1)". Lineage: Eukaryota; Metazoa; Chordata; Actinopteri; Cichliformes; Cichlidae. The record is from RNAcentral.